ACGAGACGUUGCCCCUCGGGGUACACCUCCCACCCUGUGUUUACCAUACCUAUGUUGCUUUGGCAGGCCCGUCCUCGGGACCGCCGGCUCCGGCCGGUCAGCGCCUGCCAGGGGACCUAAACUCUGUCUGUCUAUGCCGUCUGAGUACUAUACAAUAGUUA
RNAcentral lists this unclassified non-coding RNA (161 nucleotides) under uncultured Geomyces. RNAcentral's name for it is "sequence contains ITS1". Lineage: Eukaryota; Fungi; Ascomycota; Leotiomycetes; Myxotrichaceae. The record is from RNAcentral.